GCGCCCGUAGCUCAGUCGGAUAGAGCAUCAGCCUUCUAAGCUGAGGGUCGUAGGUUCGAUUCCUACCGGGCGCGCCA
RNAcentral lists this transfer RNA (77 nucleotides) under Candidatus Nitronereus thalassa. RNAcentral's name for it is "tRNA-Arg". It matches the Rfam family "tRNA". Rfam says of the family: Transfer RNA (tRNA) molecules are approximately 80 nucleotides in length. Their secondary structure includes four short double-helical elements and three loops (D, anti-codon, and T loops). The record is from RNAcentral. Lineage: Bacteria; Pseudomonadati; Nitrospirota; Nitrospiria; Nitrospirales; Nitrospiraceae.